AUUGAACGCUGGCGGCAGGCCUAACACAUGCAAGUCGAGCGGAUGAAGGGAGCUUGCUCCUGGAUUCAGCGGCGGACGGGUGAGUAAUGCCUAGGAAUCUGCCUGGUAGUGGGGGAUAACGUCCGGAAACGGGCGCUAAUACCGCAUACGUCCUGAGGGAGAAAGUGGGGGAUCUUCGGACCUCACGCUAUCAGAUGAGCCUAGGUCGGAUUAGCUAGUUGGUGGGGUAAAGGCCUACCAAGGCGACGAUCCGUAACUGGUCUGAGAGGAUGAUCAGUCACACUGGAAGUGAGACACGGUCCAGACUCCUGCGGGAGGCAGCAGUCGGGAAUAUUGGGCAAUGGGGGAGAGCCUGAUACAGCCAUGCCGCGUGUGUGAAGAAGGUCUUCGGAUUGUAAAGCACUUUAAGUUGGGGGAAAGGGCAGUAAGUUAAUACGUUGCUGUUUUGACGUUACCAACAGAAUAAGCACCGGCUAACUACGUG
Molecule: ribosomal RNA, 484 nt
Filed under: uncultured bacterium
Lineage: Bacteria
Description: partial 16S ribosomal RNA
Rfam family: Bacterial small subunit ribosomal RNA
Source: RNAcentral